CCCUGCCCUUUGUACACACCGCCCGUCGCUCCUACCGAUUGAGUGGUCCGGUGAAUCUUUCGGACUGUGGCGAGUCUCGUGCUUUGCCGCGGAAAGUCAGGUGAACCUUAUCACUGAGAGGAAGGAGA
This 128-nucleotide ribosomal RNA is filed under the name uncultured eukaryote. RNAcentral describes it as "partial small subunit ribosomal RNA". It matches the Rfam family "Eukaryotic small subunit ribosomal RNA", at positions 1651 to 1786 of the family's 1831-position model. The record is from RNAcentral.